GGCGACGUGGGAGAGCGGCUAUCCAGCGGCCUGCAAAGCCGUUUACACCGGUUCGAGUCCGGUCGUCGCCU
Molecule: transfer RNA, 71 nt
Filed under: Acidobacteriota bacterium
Lineage: Bacteria; Pseudomonadati; Acidobacteriota
Also listed under: 3 other names
Description: tRNA-Cys
Rfam family: tRNA
About the family: Transfer RNA (tRNA) molecules are approximately 80 nucleotides in length.
Source: RNAcentral